Molecule: ribosomal RNA, 253 nt
Filed under: uncultured bacterium
Lineage: Bacteria
Description: partial 16S ribosomal RNA
Rfam family: Bacterial small subunit ribosomal RNA
Source: RNAcentral
UACGAAGGACCCGAGCGUUAUCCGGAUUUAUUGGGUUUAAAGGGUGCGUAGGCGGAUUUACAAGUCAGUGGUGAAAUCUCCCAGCUUAACUGGGAAACUGCCAUUGAAACUGUUUAUCUUGAGUACAUUUGAGGCGGGCGGAAUGUGUCAUGUAGAGGUGAAAUUCUUAGAUAUGACACAGAACACCAAUUGCGAAGGCAGCUCGCUAAACUGUAACUGACGCUGAGGCACGAAAGCGUGGGGAUCAAACGGG